UACGAAGGGGGCUAGCGUUGCUCGGAAUCACUGGGCGUAAAGGGUGCGUAGGCGGGUCUUUAAGUCAGGGGUGAAAUCCUGGAGCUCAACUCCAGAACUGCCUUUGAUACUGAGAGGCUUGAGUCCGGGAGAGGUGAGUGGAACUGCGAGUGUAGAGGUGAAAUUCGUAGAUAUUCGCAAGAACGCCAGUGGCGAAGGCGGCUCACUGGCCCGGUACUGACGCUGAGGUGCGAAAGCGUGGGGAGCAAACAGG
Molecule: ribosomal RNA, 253 nt
Filed under: uncultured bacterium
Lineage: Bacteria
Description: partial 16S ribosomal RNA
Rfam family: Bacterial small subunit ribosomal RNA
Source: RNAcentral